GAGAUAAGGGACUGUCAAGUUAGCCAAGGAGACUGCCUGGUAUCCAACAAUCAAAGGGUUUCUUUUAGAAAAAUUAUAUCAUCAACAUGAUUUUGAAACCACUUAAUUGGAAAGUUCAGGCAAGUCAUCCUUGGCUACCAAACUAGACUCUCAUUU
Non-coding RNA from Citrus sinensis (sweet orange), 156 nucleotides. NCBI's taxonomy places the organism in Eukaryota, Viridiplantae, Streptophyta, Magnoliopsida, Sapindales, Rutaceae. The record is from Rfam.